Molecule: transfer RNA, 72 nt
Filed under: Ictidomys tridecemlineatus (thirteen-lined ground squirrel)
Lineage: Eukaryota; Metazoa; Chordata; Mammalia; Rodentia; Sciuridae
Description: Spermophilus tridecemlineatus (thirteen-lined ground squirrel) tRNA
Rfam family: tRNA
About the family: Transfer RNA (tRNA) molecules are approximately 80 nucleotides in length. Their secondary structure includes four short double-helical elements and three loops (D, anti-codon, and T loops). Further hydrogen bonds mediate the characteristic L-shaped molecular structure. tRNAs have two regions of fundamental functional importance: the anti-codon, which is responsible for specific mRNA codon recognition, and the 3' end, to which the tRNAs corresponding amino acid is attached (by aminoacyl-tRNA synthetases). tRNAs cope with the degeneracy of the genetic code in two manners: having more than one tRNA (with a specific anti-codon) for a particular amino acid; and 'wobble' base-pairing, i.e. permitting non-standard base-pairing at the 3rd anti-codon position.
Source: Rfam by way of RNAcentral
GGGAAUAUAGCUCAGUGGUAGAGUGCUUGCCUUGCAUGCCAGAAGCCCUGUGUUGGAUUCUCAGUAUUGCAA